UAGGUCGUUCCAGGCGGCCUCCUUCGCCUCC
Molecule: small RNA, 31 nt
Filed under: Bombyx mori (domestic silkworm)
Lineage: Eukaryota; Metazoa; Arthropoda; Insecta; Lepidoptera; Bombycidae
Description: ovarian small RNA-6424
Source: RNAcentral